This 253-nucleotide ribosomal RNA is filed under the name uncultured bacterium. RNAcentral's name for it is "partial 16S ribosomal RNA". It matches the Rfam family "Bacterial small subunit ribosomal RNA", at positions 524 to 776 of the family's 1533-position model. The record is from RNAcentral.
UACGUAGGAUGCUAGCGUUGUCCGGAUUUACUGGGCGUAAAGCGCGCGCAGGCGGCACUGUAAGUCAGGUGUGAAAUAUCCCUGCUCAACGGGGAGGGUGCACUUUAGACUGCAGAGCUAGAGGACGGUAGAGGGGGGUGGAAUUGCUGGUGUAGCGGUGAAAUGCGUAGAGAUCAGCAGGAACACCCGUGGCGAAGGCGGCCCCCUGGGACGGUACUGACGCUGAGACGCGAAAGCGUGGGGAGCGAACAGG